GGAGAGGUGGCCGAGUGGUCGAUGGCGCCUGACUUGAAAUCAGGUAACCCAGCAAUGGGUUCGUGGGUUCGAAUCCCACCCUCUCCGCCA
This 90-nucleotide transfer RNA is filed under the name Candidatus Peribacteraceae bacterium. Its description in RNAcentral is "tRNA-Ser". It matches the Rfam family "tRNA". From Rfam's summary of the family: Transfer RNA (tRNA) molecules are approximately 80 nucleotides in length. Their secondary structure includes four short double-helical elements and three loops (D, anti-codon, and T loops). Lineage: Bacteria; Candidatus Peregrinibacteriota; Candidatus Peribacteria; Candidatus Peribacterales. The record is from RNAcentral.